AUUGAACGCUGGCGGCAGGCUUAACACAUGCAAGUCGAGCGGAGUGAUGGUGCUUGCACUAUCACUUAGCGGCGGACGGGUGAGUAAUGCUUAGGAAUCUGCCUAUUAGUGGGGGACAACAUCUCGAAAGGGAUGCUAAUACCGCAUACGUCCUACGGGAGAAAGCAGGGGAUCACUUGUGACCUUGCGCUAAUAGAUGAGCCUAAGUCGGAUUAGCUAGUUGGUGGGGUAAAGGCCUACCAAGGCGACGAUCUGUAGCGGGCCUGAGAGGAUGAUCCUCCACACUGGGACUGAGGCACGGCCCAGACUCCUACGGGAGGCAGCAGUGGGGAAUAUUGGACAAUGGGGGGAACCCUGAUCCAGCCAUGCCGCGUGUGUGAAGAAGGCCUUAUGGUUGUAAAGCACUUUAAGCGAGGAGGAGGCUCUUUUGGUUAAUACCCAAGAUGAGUGGACGUUACUCGCAGAAUAAGCACCGGCUAACUCUGUGCCAGCCGCCGCGGUAA
This 503-nucleotide ribosomal RNA is filed under the name uncultured bacterium. RNAcentral's name for it is "partial 16S ribosomal RNA". It matches the Rfam family "Bacterial small subunit ribosomal RNA", at positions 30 to 523 of the family's 1533-position model. The record is from RNAcentral.